Molecule: ribosomal RNA, 492 nt
Filed under: Kluyveromyces marxianus
Lineage: Eukaryota; Fungi; Ascomycota; Saccharomycetes; Saccharomycetales; Saccharomycetaceae
Description: eukaryotic LSU rRNA
Rfam family: Eukaryotic large subunit ribosomal RNA
Source: RNAcentral
AUCUGGCGUCUUCGACGUCCGAGUUGUAAUUUGAAGAAGGCGACUUUGUAGCUGGUCCUUGUCUAUGUUCCUUGGAACAGGACGUCAUAGAGGGUGAGAAUCCCGUGUGGCGAGGAUCCCAGUUAUUUGUAAAGUGCUUUCGACGAGUCGAGUUGUUUGGGAAUGCAGCUCUAAGUGGGUGGUAAAUUCCAUCUAAAGCUAAAUAUUGGCGAGAGACCGAUAGCGAACAAGUACAGUGAUGGAAAGAUGAAAAGAACUUUGAAAAGAGAGUGAAAAAGUACGUGAAAUUGUUGAAAGGGAAGGGCAUUUGAUCAGACAUGGCGUUUGCUUCGGCUUUCGCUGGGCCAGCAUCAGUUUUAGCGGUUGGAUAAAUCCUCGGGAAUGUGGCUCUGCUUCGGUAGAGUGUUAUAGCCCGUGGGAAUACAGCCAGCUGGGACUGAGGAUUGCGACUUUUGUCAAGGAUGCUGGCGUAAUGGUUAAAUGCCGCCCGUC